UCGGAAACCUCUAGAACAUAGGAACGACGUCGAUGGAGGCGCCACCGGCGAUGGCAUCGGAGGGGGGACAGCGCGGCGCGGGGGGCAGCCACGUACGAGGAUCGCGGGCCGCUCACACACCUUACCGAUCAGCUGUGAAAAUUGUACGCGUCGCGCGCCGUUUAAUUAUAUAAUUUGUUACAAAUCCAAGAAACUCCAAGAAAUAUAUCGACGAGAACGGAUAACUGUGGCUACGGAUCGGUAAAUAGUGUGUCGUUCCAAUUAAUCAUUGCCCUUUAUCACUUCUUAAAUUCUUCCCGCUUUGUUGGCCAUUUAAAUCUGUUCCAUUUUUUUUCCCCAUAUUUAUUAGUCAUCGCAUUCAUUUCGUUGCACAUAUUUCAAGCCUGGUUAUCGCUCAAGCCUAUUAUUGUAGGUGCAUCGCUGCAUAAUUAGUAGCAGGCAAAAAUAAGAAACCUGUUUACACGGAUACGUGUUAGCUUGACCGCUAAUUCACUCAAGGUCAACAUCUGUCGCUUUGCAAUUUAUUCAACGCAGUGCUUGCUCAUUAGUUACGAAUUAACGUAAUUAUUAUUUAUUUGAAUAAUGGACUCUAAACUUAAAGAAUUAGUUAAGAAACGUGCAAGCUGUAAAGCUAAACUUACGCUUUUCAGCAAUUAUUUAAAUGUAGUCCUUUCUUGUUCACGAUUAAGUGAUUUACAAGUAACAGAACUGGAAACCCGACUUGAUAAAAUGGAUUUAUUAUACAAUGACUAUGAUAAAAUACAGGGGGAUAUCGAGCUGCUGAUGGAGGACUCCGCCGAGGCAUUGGCUGAUCGCGAAGCCUUUCAAAACCAAUACUUCUCCUUGGUGUCAUCGGCGCGCGAGGUGCGACGUCAGCAUAGCGAGCGAAGAGCCAGCGUGUUGCAGAGAACCAGAUGGCAUGCGUCCACAGGCGAAAUUAAGCUGAAUCAGUUAGUUCUGAUCAGAGAGAAAACGCAACCACCACUACAUUGGCUAUUAGGCCGUAUCGUCAAGGUGUUUCCUGGUGCUGACGGCAUCACGAGGGUGGCGGAAAUCAAAACCAAGAAGGGCAACAUCACAAGGGCCUUCAACAACAUAUGUCCUUUACCUAUUGAAGACGAUGUUUCAACCCGGGCAGGAUGUUCGGAAACCUCUAGAACAUAGGAACGACGUCGAUGGAGGCGCCACCGGCGAUGGCAUCGGAGGGGGGACAGCGCGGCGCGGGGGGCAGCCACGUACGAGGAUCGCGGGCCGCUCACACACCUUACCGAUCAGCUGUGAAAAUUGUACGCGUCGCGCGCCGUUUAAUUAUAUAAUUUGUUACAAAUCAUCCGUUGGAAUAAACCAGUACCUAUAUUUCGGAAA
Molecule: long non-coding RNA, 1365 nt
Organism: Helicoverpa armigera (cotton bollworm)
Lineage: Eukaryota; Metazoa; Arthropoda; Insecta; Lepidoptera; Noctuidae
Exons: 2
Source: RefSeq, a predicted model, not a curated record